UGCCAGCAGCCGCGGUAAUACGGAGAUGGCAACCGUUGUUCGGAAUCACUGGGCUUAAAGAGCACGUAGGCGGAAAGAUAAGUUGGGUGUGAAAUCCUCUGGCUUACCCAGAGAACAGCAUUCAAAACUGUUUUUCUUGAGUUCAGGAGGGGAGAGUGGAACUCCUAGUGGAGCGGUGAAAUGCGUUGAUAUUAGGAGGAACGCCGGUGGCGAAAGCGACUCUCUGGUCUGUAACUGACGCUGAGGUGCGAAAGCUAGGGGAGCAAACGGGAUUAGAUA
Molecule: ribosomal RNA, 279 nt
Filed under: uncultured bacterium
Lineage: Bacteria
Description: partial 16S ribosomal RNA
Rfam family: Bacterial small subunit ribosomal RNA
Source: RNAcentral